RNAcentral lists this transfer RNA (62 nucleotides) under Hyalomma aegyptium. RNAcentral's name for it is "tRNA-Arg". Lineage: Eukaryota; Metazoa; Arthropoda; Arachnida; Ixodida; Ixodidae. The record is from RNAcentral.
AAAAUAAAGCGAUAUUUAAUUGCAUUCAGUUUCGACCUGAAAUUAGAAAAUUUUCUAUUUUU